AACAAAACCUAAAACAAAACCUGGCCGUCCCUACUCUAAUAUGUUUCAUUCUCUUAACUAUUCCACAAUCAGGAAAAAAGAAAAGAGCGAGAGAGAAAAGAUGAUGAAAACGUCAAUGGCUUCCCUAAGGUCAUUCUCCGCGAGGUUCGUGGUUGCUCCGCUGAGUUUCCUUGCCACCGUCAAAUUCAAAGAAUCUGCAACUGAAGCCAACCUUCUCUGAAGAGCAAAAUCCUAACCCCGGGUACCAUCAGUUGGUAUUCCAGCACCAAAAAGGGCUCAACCUCUUGGUACCAUCUCUACUGCUCCUUGGGGUUCUGCACUUAUUUUGCCAAUUUCAUAUUCAUACAUAGCCAUGAGUUUUAAGGGACUCACUGAAGCCUCAAAGAUAGGAACCUUGAAUGCAAACUACAUGGCAAAACGUUUGGAGCAUGAAAUAGAAGUUCAUUGUUUUCUUAGUAUAAUAUAAUGAUGUGAACAUUACAGAGCCACUACCCCAUUCUUUUUCGAGGAGUCAAUGGAACAGUCGCCAAUGAAUUUCAAGGGUAUACUGUUGGCUAUGUGAAUAUUAAAGCAAAAAUGUUGUUUAUACUUUGCAAGUUGAACUUAGACAUUGAUGCUCAAGGUCUAUUGUUCAGUUAAGGUUUGUCGGAACCGCAGGCAAAGAGAGAUAGGCCGUAUCCCCGUAACCGGUAAAGUAUUUGCUUUUUUUGUUUUGGUUUUAUUGUGGUAGAACUCGAACACUUUAGUGGCUUUAAAUUUUAAGAUAUUUCAUACUUAAUUCCAUCUGCCUUGAUACUAUAAAUAAAUUACCACUUAUCUAAAAAUUCUAAAUUGUUAGAAACUAAUAAAUUUAAUCAUUCAAUCAAAAUUCUUAAUUGCUCUUUCGGAAAUCCUAUUGCAAGGAGGGGGGAGAAUAUUGUCCAAAGAAUGAUGGAAAACUAGCAGUUUAUUCACGUGAUUUCAAAUCAAUAUCUAAUCUAAUACUAUAUAUGUUAAAACAGAAGCUAAGAGAAAGUAAGGACCUACAAUUAAGGAUGUUGGGAAAGGUAGAGAUAGAGUUAUUUUCUAUAUUUUGCUCCCAUGUCUUGCUGCUUGCUUUGUUGUAUAUGUUCUUCCCGUUGGUUGUGCAGGGUGAAUGGGAAAAGGAGCUAUCUUUGCUGGGUUUCUUGGUUCAAUAAGAAAAAGGAGGAAGCUUUAUACAUUUUUGGUCGUGCUUUCCUUGGGUUUCUUUGAGAGGUUGGUCAGACUAUUAUGGAGAGUUGUUGGUGGUCUUUUUGGGUUAGGAAAGGAUUCUGUUUAUGGAGUUAUGGAGGGCUGGAAUAGUGGUACUUUUUGUAUUUGUUAUGUUACUUUUUUUCUUUUCUAUCUCAUUUGUCUAUAUUGAAUUGUGCUUAAGAACAGCCAAUGCUAUUGCCCAUUGUACCUAGAUAUAUAAAUUACUUUGUUAUAUACUACAGAAUAUGAGUAGCAAGAUAGAGUUACAAAAAAUUGCCCCCUUUUGUAAAAUAUGUUACAAUCUAAUUUUAUAAAGAACAUUUUUCUACCA
Molecule: RNA transcript, 1546 nt
Organism: Quercus robur (English oak)
Lineage: Eukaryota; Viridiplantae; Streptophyta; Magnoliopsida; Fagales; Fagaceae
Gene name: glycine dehydrogenase (decarboxylating) 2, mitochondrial-like
Exons: 6
Source: RefSeq, a predicted model, not a curated record